Callithrix jacchus (white-tufted-ear marmoset) is the source of this 173-nucleotide microRNA precursor. Ensembl annotates it as cja-mir-218. Its record names the gene cja-mir-218. The record is from Ensembl. Lineage: Eukaryota; Metazoa; Chordata; Mammalia; Primates; Cebidae.
GGUCCUGCCUUUGGCCUAGUGGUUGGUGUAGUGAUAAUGUAGCGAGAUUUUCUGUUGUGCUUGAUCUAACCAUGUGGUUGCAAGGUAUGAGUAAAACAUGGUUCCGUCAAGCACCAUGGAACGUCACGCAGCUUUCUACAGCAUGACAAGCUGCUGAGGCUUAAAUCAGGAUU